GUGGAAUUCUAUCUAUUUGAUGUUGGAAACGGCAUUGAAAUUUGAAAAAACUUUCGAUAGGUUAGAAGAAGAGGAUGCUUAGUAUUUGCAUUAGAUGAUGAUAAUGGUAGAAGGAGGGGUGGACCUCCAUCAAAUUUAGAUUGGGAAAGUGCAUCUGUUUUUUUAAAUUUCUUGAAAAUUUCUUCAAUGUGACUUUGAAGUUUAGUGCUUCAUUGCAAGUUAGUGCUUGUGCUUAUCUUCAUGAAAUUUGUAAUCUUGUAAUCGAAUUAGAUGAAUGAAGAUUAAGUUGAAAUUAUUUGUUGGGUGAAAUGGCGA
Molecule: long non-coding RNA, 315 nt
Filed under: Olea europaea subsp. europaea
Lineage: Eukaryota; Viridiplantae; Streptophyta; Magnoliopsida; Lamiales; Oleaceae
Source: RNAcentral